Molecule: ribosomal RNA, 498 nt
Filed under: uncultured bacterium
Lineage: Bacteria
Description: partial 16S ribosomal RNA
Rfam family: Bacterial small subunit ribosomal RNA
Source: RNAcentral
AUUGAACGCUGGCGGCAUGCUUUACACAUGCAAGUCGAACGGUAACAGGCCGCAAGGUGCUGACGAGUGGCGAACGGGUGAGUAAUGCAUCGGAACGUGCCCAGUCGUGGGGGAUAACGCAGCGAAAGCUGCGCUAAUACCGCAUACGAUCUCUGGAUGAAAGCGGGGGACCGAAAGGCCUCGCGCGAUUGGAGCGGCCGAUGUCAGAUUAGGUAGUUGGUGGGGUAAAGGCUCACCAAGCCAACGAUCUGUAGCUGGUCUGAGAGGACGACCAGACACACUGGGACGGGGACACGGCCCAGACUCCUACGGGAGGCAGCAGUGGGGAAUUUUGGACAAUGGGCGCAAGCCUGAUCCAGCAAUGCCGCGUGCAGGAAGAAGGCCUUCGGGUUGUAAACUGCUUUUGUACGGAACGAAACGGUCCUGGUUAAUACCCGGGGCUAAUGACGGUACCGUAAGAAUAAGUACCGGCUAACUACGUGCCAGCAGCCGCAGUAA